GAUUUUGGUUUUGAUUUGUUUGUGGAUUGUUGUUUAUUGAGUAUGAUGUGUAUUUCGGUAUCUAUAUUUUUGGGGCAUUACUGUAUGAUUAUUGGAUAUUCCAUUGGCUUCCAUGUUUAUAAAUUCAUUCAAAAUAAAGGAUGAAUGUGGAUUUAAGAUAAUAUUAACCAGAUCCAUAGAAAUUGGGGCAUUAUAGUGGUACAUAAAACAGAAAUUGUUCACAGCACUUCGUUUCUUCCAAACGUUCUGUUUUUCUGCGUUUUGAUUCCUCGCUUACUAAUUUCUCAACAAGCUGUCCCUCAUUUUCGUCAGCAGCCAAUCUUUUCCUUUUUUUGGAGCUCUUUUCUAGAAAAGUGGAUGCUUUGAUUACAGUUAUCAAUUGUCUCUUGUAAUAUCUGUGGAGUGGUUACUAUAAGUUUCAUAGUGGGACACAACAUUAUUAGCUUGUAGCUGUUGCUGUGGAUUCUCACAAUUAAAGAUUUGUUAUCUAAAAUUAACUAGAAAAACUAUCUAUCAGUUACUUGUUUUAGAAUAUGUGCGUGGCAAAGCCAGGGUUGUGUAGGCUUCUUUCCUGUACUUGACCGAAGGAGUUCUACUGCAGUCAUGGGAUUAGGUUUCUUUCUUGUACUUGACUGAAGUUGUUCUAAUGCAGUUGUGGUCUUCUAGUAAUCAAGGGACAUGAUAGUUUUUUUCGAUUGCAAUGGCAAUAGGUUUCUGUGGUGUAAGUUUUUCAUUCUAUCACUCAAGUUCUUUGUUAUGCAUAUUGUACUCGUACAAUGCAACAUUCAUUUUUCUCCCGAUAUAGAAUAUGUUGAAUUUGAGAAGGUCCAAUCUGAUUGACCUAUGUGGUGGAUUGCUGCCAAGCUAGCAGAUUUUCUGUUGAUUUAUUGUUUUAAGUCAAACUUCACAACUUGAGUUUUAUCAUAAGUGAGGUUGUCCAAGAUUGGUGAAUCUCCUGCUUAUGCGUGUGAAGGCCUCUCUUUUUUUCUGCACAGAAGAUGUAAUGAGAAAGCAGAAUUGGUUCAAAGAAGAUAAAGUCAAAGCAUUAUAAUAAGUUGGAGCUAGCACCCAGGAGGAGAGAGUCGGAUGUAACAUGGAGAACACUAGAUUAUUUCCUAUAAAUGCAACACUUGAAUUAUUGCUAAAUCUCAAGCAGCAAGGUGUGUCUACUAGCUAUUUUUUUCCAAAUUAAAGAGCCUAUAAUUUUGGGAUGAUAAUGAAAGGGUGUUGGAAAGAAUGUAAAAUCAGCAUAUAAAGGUUUCCUUUGACUCUCAGUUAUUUGCUAAAAUUGUACCGGUAAAGACGGGUGAAGAUCUUUAAAACUUUUAGAAUUUACUUUAAAACUAUCGAUUUUGAUGCAGGGUUGAAAUUCUUUACACUCAAUGAAUACAGCAUCCAAUUUGUGUUUUAUUUCAUCUACAUGAACUUGCAAAUUUCAUUGGCUUUUCUAGUAAGCUUCAAUUUUUGCAAAUGUGAAGACUGCUACUUGGUUUGUUUAGUUAUGAAAUUAACAAAAACGUUUAAUUUUCGAUUCUUUUUGGAGAUUUUACCUAGGGAUGUGAGAAUUUAACAAUGACACUGACACUGACACAAGGUUUGGAUUGCCAUCUUUCCCUUAAAAUGCUGUAGUUUCUGUUAUUGUUCAUAGCAUGCUUUUCAAGGAUUUACUAAUGAGAUUUAGCAGUUGUGCACAUGGUAUCCUCUAUUUAUGCUUCACGCUCAUCUAUUACCUUUCUUUAUAAAGGUGUGUGGUAUAACUCUUUCUCUAUUUGCCAGAUUUUUUUUUUAUUAUAAUUUCUUACCUGUCUAGCCUAUUCCAUGCUGGUUCAUAAUUUCUUAUCUUUCUAGCUUUUAUGGGGCCAUUGAAUUGUCUUUUUAAUUUUGAAAAUGUUUUGUUGAUGUUUUAAAAUUUCUUGAUCAUUUCUUAAUACCUUAAGAAAUAUUUUUUUCCAUGAGUCAUCGGUUUUUAUACUUAUGUGAAGUUUCCUUUGGCAUGCAGACAAGAAAUGCAACGCGGUUAGUUGCUUCAGCUAUUGUCGCGAGUUUAGGUGCCUUAACUCAUACAUUGGGUACCUUCGUCCCUGUGAUAGGAGCAAGUGGAUUUGCUACAGCUGCAGCUGCAACUGCUAUAGGAACUGUUGUCGGUAGUUUUAGAUAAUCUCUUAAUAGUUGUUGAUAUGUUUAGAAAAUUAAAUAUGCAUAGUUUUGGAUGGUUUAAACUUUUUGUACAGUUUAGAACUUAAGGAUAUAGUUUUCGAAUGUUUGGAAUGUA
Molecule: non-coding RNA, 2272 nt
Organism: Camellia sinensis
Lineage: Eukaryota; Viridiplantae; Streptophyta; Magnoliopsida; Ericales; Theaceae
Source: RefSeq, a predicted model, not a curated record